This 397-nucleotide ribosomal RNA is filed under the name uncultured bacterium. RNAcentral describes it as "bacterial SSU rRNA". It matches the Rfam family "Bacterial small subunit ribosomal RNA", at positions 28 to 420 of the family's 1533-position model. The record is from RNAcentral.
GAUGAACGCUAGCGGCAGGCUUAAUACAUGCAAGUCGUGGGGCAGCAUGAGUAGCAAUACUUGAUGGCGACCGGCAAACGGGUGAGGAACACGUACACAACCUUCCUUCAAGCGGGGAAUAGCCCAGAGAAAUUUGGAUUAAUACCCCAUAAUAUAUUUGAUAAGGCAUCUUAUUAAUAUUAAAGCUUCGGCACUUGAUGAUGGGUGUGCGGCUGAUUAGAUAGUUGGCGGGUAACGGCCCACCAAGUCUACGAUCAGUAGCUGAUGUGAGAGCAUGAUCAGCCACACGGGCACUGAGACACGGGCCCGACUCCUACGGGAGGCAGCAGUAAGGAAUAUUGGACAAUGGACGAAAAGGUCUGAUCCAGCCAUGCCGCGUGAAGGAUUAAGGUCCUCU